GUCAGCAUUGAAAGAAAAUACUAAAGAAAAGAGGUAUAACCUGCUUCACAAAGGUUCAUGAAAUAGGUAUUAUAACAUAGGUAGAUUACAUGGAAAAGAGUCUUGCAAGGGAAAUCUGGAGACAGUCUUGUCAUCCAACAUUUUUGCAAGACGCUGCACUUAUGCCUUGACCUGCAACAUCUUGGUUGCAAGUCCAUGACCAGUGCAUUGCCCAGGUAAGAUUUUAUCCAGAUUUUUAAUUCAAUAAUUUCAUGUAUGACUAUUAUUCCAGUUUCUACAGGCCAACGGAACCCACUCUCUAUGCAGCUUCGAAACAUACCAUAACACUUCAUCAUGACAAGUGGGAAUAAUUAAGGCUCAAUAUAAAUAGUAGCAUCAUAAUUUCUAAAUAUAAAUAGUAGCAUCAUAAUUUCUA
This 415-nucleotide unclassified non-coding RNA is filed under the name Hevea brasiliensis (rubber tree). Lineage: Eukaryota; Viridiplantae; Streptophyta; Magnoliopsida; Malpighiales; Euphorbiaceae. The record is from RNAcentral.